Molecule: ribosomal RNA, 253 nt
Filed under: uncultured bacterium
Lineage: Bacteria
Description: partial 16S ribosomal RNA
Rfam family: Bacterial small subunit ribosomal RNA
Source: RNAcentral
UACGAAGGGGGCUAGCGUUGCUCGGAAUUACUGGGCGUAAAGGGCGCGUAGGCGGACAGUUUAGUCGGGGGUGAAAGCCCGGGGCUCAACCCCGGAACUGCCUUCGAUACUGGCUGUCUUGAGUACGGGAGAGGUGUGUGGAACUCCGAGUGUAGAGGUGAAAUUCGUAGACAUUCGGAAGAACACCAGUGGCGAAGGCGACACACUGGCCCGUUACUGACGCUGUGGCGCGAAAGCGUGGGGAGCAAACAGG